CAAGAAGUAGCUUACAAAACAGCCCCCAGCCUACACCUGGAAGACGUCACACAGACCUUCUUGAG
Molecule: transfer RNA, 65 nt
Filed under: Phyllodactylus leei (Chatham leaf-toed gecko)
Lineage: Eukaryota; Metazoa; Chordata; Lepidosauria; Squamata; Phyllodactylidae
Description: tRNA-Val
Source: RNAcentral